This is a long non-coding RNA of Oreochromis niloticus (Nile tilapia), 1541 nucleotides long. RefSeq lists it as uncharacterized. The transcript has 3 exons. The record is from RefSeq and is a predicted model, not a curated record. Lineage: Eukaryota; Metazoa; Chordata; Actinopteri; Cichliformes; Cichlidae.
CGUAGCUCCGCAAACGCACAUAACGCACACUGCGUAGGGCACCAAAUGGCCGGUAGGGCACCAAAAAAAUCAGGGUCGUAAAAAAAAAAAAGUAAACCAUAUUAAUACUAUAAAUAUCAUAUGCAUUAAUAUGGUUAAACAAUACAAAAGCAACAUAAAACAAUUUUCCCGAGAAAAGGGGUGAAUCUGCUUUGUGCCCUGUCUCCAGUCUCCUCCUGGUGCCCCCCCCACUCCCAGUGGUCUGUUCUAUAAUGCCUCAAUUCGGUAUUGGUAAACACCUGUUUGAACAUGGCCUCGAAACGGCAACAGGAGUCGGGAGCGGAGAAAAGAAAGAAGAAGAGGAAGCGUGAUGAAACUCAGGUGUCGCUUGCCGGUAAGGCAAUGUUUAAAUAAUAACAAUAAAAAAAGUUCAUUAUUGUAGCCCUUGCUUGCACGCUCAUGUCCGUCAACUCUGUGAUAGCUCCUGUUAGCAGUGUUCAUACUGUGUUAACAAAUGUUGCAAAUGAUUGAUGUUGGGUAGUUUGUUUACGUUGUGGAUAUGAAUAUAGAAUGGACUACUAAAAGCAACUCAUCAUGGUCACUCAAUUGACGGUUUUCAGAUAACGUUAGCAAUCGUGAGACUAGCAUUUCCCUCCUCAGGUUGCUAGCUGGCUAACGUCAUGCAUGCUACUGAUUAACCUUAACUUUGGGAUAGGUCAGUGAUGCAGUCAAGUAUUAUUAUCAGAUUAGACAAGAUUACUUUGUAUGUUGCUGCAUUUCAGGAUAUCUAUAAAGACGCAUAUCUUAUUUAUGCGGCAUAAAUAAGAUAUAGGUUUCAUAUUACAGUGUAAUAUGAAACCUAUAUCUUCCAGUAAUAUAGAUUUCCUACUUGCGCAUUUAUAUCAAAUUAUGUACAGCAUGUUUAUAUUGCCAUUUGCCAUUAUGAAAAUCUAUACAUGUAAAAUAUAGUUAGUAAUUUUUAAAUGUACCAGUGACUUACUUAAUUUAUUAGUCUUAUAAUGCAAUUUUUCGUAGGCCUACUGUAGAUUCAAAAUUGUAUUUCUGUAAAAUCCCUGAAUAUUUUCUCUUGUAUGCAGGGUCAAUGCUUAAAUAUGUUCAAGGAGGAUCUCAAGGACAGGAUGAACCAUCCAGUAGUAGUGCCAUCCCUGGACAUCAACCACCAGCCAUUGUAGACCCUGCAACAAUCCCUAGCCAAGAAGAACAAGAACCAUCAACCACCAGUUCAGGAGAGGUUUGAGACCAUGAAUCAAGUGAAGGAGAAAUAUGGAGUGCUGCUUGAUUUCAGCAAAGUGAAUGGGAUGUCCAAGGAGGAUUUAAAAAAACACUGCACUGAAGUACAGAAGACACUGACAGAUAAGGGAGUAGCUGACAUUGAUGGACCUGAGAUGAUGCAGGAAAUCAUCAACCUUCCUCAGCUGCCACCACAGACGUCUGCUUUGGAAAUGCUGUCAUUUUUACAUGACAAUCAGCUUCAAGAGUGGCGGGGGGGGCACCAUAAAGCAUUUGUGCUUAGGGCACCCAAAUGGCUAGCAACGGCCCUG